RNAcentral lists this long non-coding RNA (948 nucleotides) under Physcomitrium patens. RNAcentral's name for it is "long non-coding RNA (PPAT_LNC007266)". Lineage: Eukaryota; Viridiplantae; Streptophyta; Bryopsida; Funariales; Funariaceae. The record is from RNAcentral.
GCAAUCCUUAACUUCGUCUCUGACCCUUGUCAGGAGCAUCCCAAUGCAAUAUCAUGCACGGUAUUCCUUCGCAUGCACUUUCGCUGUACACGACACCCACUACAUUCCCUAAGUUGAUAUUUUAGCACCUGAAACGUAAUCCGCAGACGGCAGGUCGUUUCGUGAUGACAACCCAGCAUAGAAUCCUGGCACGGAUCGGUAACUACGACUGGCACGGAGACUCAAAUUUGUUCCUGUUUCAUUGUACUAUGAGUCGUCGUGAUGGGACGAGUAAGACUGCGAAACAAUGGCAAGCAAAUUAGCAAAUCAGUUCUGAUAAACCGCUCAGUUUCCUUUCAGUUAACUUGGUUCAACGAUCGACACUACGAUGUGAAGACGAAUCGCAUUCCUGCGUAACCAGCCCUCUUGAUGCUAAAGCACUCUGUUACUACAAAAAUUGAUUUUACUCAUGAUUGCGUUUAUGAGCGAGGACCAACAUCAAGGUCAUUACCCGUUGUUGAAUGUGGUCUGGGAUUCUGAACUUGCCUACAAGUACUGUAGUUCAGAAUUGCAUAGAGGAAGCGCAGCAGCUCAUUCUUCUUUACUUGCACAAACCCUAGAACUCCAAACUAUGGAGCUGCCUCAAUUUCUGUAAAAUCUGGGGGGUGGGGGGUGGAAACUGGAAUGUGCGCACGUCUUCUUGCACAGCUUCUAGAAGCUUGCCCAGGGAGCCAAAUUUCGUGCACGCCGCGCUUUGUGCAUGUACGAGGGAGCUGGUUAAACACACUCUAUCGAUCCUGCCCCGCCGCGUGUCGCGAUCGUUGUUUAUGCAUCGUGAUUGAGGAUGCAGGGUCCCCUCGCGAUCCAAUUCUCCUGCAAGUGCCUCGAAGCGAAAUCCUACAUGCACAGUUUCUAAGAGGCUGUUCUGUUCGCAAUCCAGAGACUCCUUCCUGGUUACAUCCAAAGUAC